AUGAUCUACGAUUUCUGCUUCAACGCUCAACUUAUCAAGUCAACAAAUGUUCACUUUCAGGUAUAUGUCUAUUCAAUGCCGCGCCUCUGUUCCCCUCUUCCAAAAGUUUGCUUGAUCGCGCCCACGCCAUGGCCGCCAUGCUCCUUUUUGCUCUGCCUGUCAACCAGAUCGGCCGAUGAGGCGGAUGCCUGGAGGCGGUGGACCAUGGAGGAAAGGAGGUCAUCCAUGGUGCACGCAUCCACCACACUCGCUCGUCUUUUCCUCCUCGGCUCUGCGGACGCCGGGUGCUCGGGCAUGGCCGCCGGCCCGCCGCCACGCCCCGCUACUGCUGACCUUCAUCAAAAGCGGAUAACUGAGGGCUCUUCUGUUAUCAAGCUGCAUCUUUUUUGUGCCAACAGUUGCAAGUUAACUUAUUAA
RNAcentral lists this ribosomal RNA (417 nucleotides) under Triticum aestivum (bread wheat). RNAcentral describes it as "partial small subunit ribosomal RNA". The record is from RNAcentral. Lineage: Eukaryota; Viridiplantae; Streptophyta; Magnoliopsida; Poales; Poaceae.